UACGAAGGGGGCGAGCGUUGUUCGGAUUUACUGGGCGUAAAGGGCGCGUAGGCGGCGCCGCAAGUCGCGUGUGAAAGCCCCGGGCUCAACCUGGGAGGUGCGCGCGAGACUGUGGUGCUGGAGUUCGGGAGAGGGGGAUGGAAUUCCGCGUGUAGCAGUGAAAUGCGUAGAUAUGCGGAGGAACACCGAUGGCGAAGGCAGUCCCCUGGGCCUGUACUGACGCUCAUGCACGAAAGCGUGGGGAGCAAACAGG
This 253-nucleotide ribosomal RNA is filed under the name uncultured bacterium. Its description in RNAcentral is "partial 16S ribosomal RNA". It matches the Rfam family "Bacterial small subunit ribosomal RNA", at positions 524 to 776 of the family's 1533-position model. The record is from RNAcentral.